Molecule: long non-coding RNA, 2732 nt
Organism: Eucalyptus grandis
Lineage: Eukaryota; Viridiplantae; Streptophyta; Magnoliopsida; Myrtales; Myrtaceae
Exons: 2
Source: RefSeq, a predicted model, not a curated record
UCUCUCUCUCUCUCUCUCUCUGGGGCUGUGGCCGUAGCUGUGGCCGUGGUUGUGUAUGCGGGUCUGGCGAUGAGCCAAAAAAGAAAAAAGAAGGAAAAAAACUGAUAAGACGCGACUGGUUCACAUGGGUUCUGUGACCUGGGUUUGAUUAAACUGUGAAAGCUUUUUCCUUUGUUUCCUUUUGGGUUUUUUAAGCUUGAAGAUCAGCAACAGUUAGCGGCUUCAGAGAGCGUGACUUUCGAUGGGGGGAUUAAUUCCCUGUACUGUGCGGAUUUAACGGAAAAAUUCAUAUUUUAUGCCUGACCCUUCAGGUAAUUAAUAAUCUCCAUUUUUAUUUAUUUAUUGCAUUAUUCUGGUCUUGGAUUCAGAGAGGAAUACCCUGUCCUUCGACUCUUUUGAUUUUCUUGCAUGCAAUAUGGAACAGGGAACGCAUGACAUAAUUGCUAUACAUAAUAAUGCUUAUUCUCAUGUCUUAUAAUCAGCUCUGGUUCUUAGUCUCCAGCUAGAUAAAGUGGCUUUUUACAGCGUUGUUCAGAUUAAUAUGCAAGAGAACCUUCUUAGCUAGUUCAUACUCCCUUUUCCAUUCUCAAUAGCAAAUUGGAUUUGGAGAAGGACAACAGUUCUAGAGCCAUCAAACUGUGGGAUGAGAGACUUUGUGCGAACAAGAUAUAGUCUGAUGAUCAAGCCACUACUGGAAUAUAUCUUGGCGAGUAUGUGGAUUAAAUUCAUCGUUUAUCUCUCAUCUCCUCUUGGUUCUUGCAGAUAAUAAAAGCUCCUUCGGAAUCCCGUUGAAAAUAAUUGGGUGAACGAAUUUAUGGCACCAAGAGAGCAACUGUUUACCGUCAGUUUGAUUUUUUUCCUCAUCUGUUUGCGCGGCUAAUUUUGUUUGUGUUAAUAAUGAGAGGCAGUUUUUCAUCUUUUUUGAUGGAUUAUAGCUUGAUAGGAACCUAGCCAUAGGAGUCCCGUAAGGAAACUCAGUCUAGUCUUUUCGUUCUUUUAACUCAUUUCUUUCCUACAUUUGAUGGUUCAAGGCUGAUAAGGAUGAUGAAGGAUUGAGCUCUCUCUCUCUCUCUCUCUCUCUCUCUCGUGCGCGUGCAAAAUAUGAUAGCCUUGGGGUGGUGCCACAUUGACUAUCAAAGCAUCAAGAUUGAGCCCUCUACCAUGAGCCAACGGUGAAUGCCAUUCACAAACAAGCUAGGGCCAACUGGGUGGUGAGGGCAUUACUUCCACGACUUAGGAAUCUUCUUCAAUCUUGGCAUGAGUAGUUAUCCAAGGAUGAUUUGGAGUCAAGUCUCUUAGGUAUUUAGAUGGUGUUCAGCUUAAGUAUGACUACUGUAGAAAUGGUUCUUCUCAAGCUAUGAAACUUAGUUUAUGUGAAGUAUUUGAUAGAAUAUUCCAUGUCUUUAUUUAACAACUUAAACUUUUAGAAUAGUUAUUAUUGAUUCACGAAAUCACAUAUGAUAUCAGAGCAGUUGGUUUUAAGUUCAAAUUCUUUCAUGCCCCUAUUGCCUCCCUAAUUAUAUAUUUCAACUCUUACUACUAGGCAAAAAGAUUAGAUUAAAUGUGAGGAGGAGUGAUUGAAAUAUUUAAAUAUUAAAUCAUGUAUUUAUCUAAGAAUUUAUACUCUUAGAAUAGUAUGUAGUGGUCCUACAAAAUCUCAUAGUAUUGAACUUCUUCAAUGUGUCUUGGGGAUCAUAUUUUUUUUUUUGGUCGUAUUGGGGAUCAUAAUUUGAGAUAUAUAUAAUUUUCAUGGAUAAGAAUAGAAGAAUUCCAGAGAGAAAGAUUAUUUUUUAUUUUUGAUUGAUUUAGCUUUGUUCCUCUAAAUUCUUUGUUUGUUUGCUGCAAGAGUUUGUAGAUUCCUGUCUACGAUUUGGCACCCCCUAGUGUGUCCCUUAUACUUGCUCUUUAACAUACUCAGCUGAGAUGUCUUGCAAACUAAAAUAGUUGUUUCUUCCAAGAAACAUGCUUGACAUAUUCUGUUUUUAUCAUAGAAGGAAUCGAGAGUUCAAUUUCCCCACUCUUAUACUCAUUUUUGUAAUUUUCUUGCAUAUUACUUGUGUUUAUUCUCUUAUUCUCUUGAGAAUGAAAAUAUGUCCUGGUUUUACAAGCAAGUCAUGGCUUAUACACAAGGUAGGGUUUCUUGAGAAGCAAGACAAAGAAAUGAAAGAUGAUGGUAUUGGCACAAUAGAGGUAUCUAUGAGGUUGCUCUUCCAUUGCCGGACAUUAUAUCAUGGUGGCAGCCAGGUUUUACUAGUGGGAGGUGAAUGGGCUGUAGAAUGCUCAAUGAUAACAAGUAUGAAUCCCAGAGAGCAGCUUCUUGAAUCCUUAACCGAUGGUGGUAUUAAUGCAUCACAUGUAAGUUGUUAUGCAUUAUUCAGGUGAAGAAAUGGUGCUUCUUUAAUGCAUUCAAUUAUUUUUUUCCAUUGUUGUGUGCUUCUGUCUUUUUUUUUUUUCUGGUGUAAUUGUUGGGAAGGUUUUGUUUUGAUUAUUAUUUUUCUCCAUCCUGCUAGUUCUGACUGAGUCAUGGGAUGCUUCUGUAUUCCAUCCUGCUAGUUCUGACUGAGUCAUGCGAUGCUUCUGUAUUCCAUCCUGCUAGUUCUGACUGAGAGUCAUGAGAGUCAUGGGAUGCUUCAGUAUUGCAUAGGCUUUUAUUGGAACGCUGUUGCUAAUUACUCCAUGAAAUUGAACAGUAUUGGUCUUAUUCAUGAAAACUUGUGUUCUUACUUUUGGUA